RNAcentral lists this ribosomal RNA (224 nucleotides) under uncultured prokaryote. Its description in RNAcentral is "partial 16S ribosomal RNA". It matches the Rfam family "Bacterial small subunit ribosomal RNA", at positions 525 to 748 of the family's 1533-position model. The record is from RNAcentral.
ACGUAGGGUGCGAGCGUUAAUCGGAAUUACUGGGCGUAAAGCGCGUGCAGGUGGUUCGUUAAGUCAGGUGUGAAAUCCCCGGGCUCAACCUCGGAACUGCGCUUGAGACUGGUGAACUGGAGUACUGUAGAGGGGGGUAGAAUUUCAGGUGUAGCGGUGAAAUGCGUAGAGAUGUGAAGGAAUACCGAUGGCGAAGGCGGCCCCCUGGACAGAUACUGACACUC